AUUGAACGCUGGCGGCAUGCUUUACACAUGCAAGUCGAACGGCAGCGCGGGCUUCGGCCUGGCGGCGAGUGGCGAACGGGUGAGUAAUGCAUCGGAACGUGCCCAGUAUUGGGGGAUAGCCCGGCGAAAGCCGGAUUAAUACCGCAUACGACCUGAGGGUGAAAGCGGGGGACCGAAAGGCCUCGCGCUAUUGGAGCGGCCGAUGUCGGAUUAGCUAGUUGGUGGGGUAAAGGCUUACCAAGGCGACGAUCCGUAGCUGGUCUGAGAGGACGACCAGCCACACUGGGACUGAGACACGGCCCAGACUCCUACGGGAGGCAGCAGUGGGGAAUUUUGGACAAUGGGGGCAACCCUGAUCCAGCCAUGCCGCGUGCGGGAAGAAGGCCUUCGGGUUGUAAACCGCUUUUGUUCGGGAAGAAAUCCUCUGGGCUAAUACCCCGGGGGGAUGACGGUACCGGAAGAAUAAGCACCGGCUAACUACGUG
Molecule: ribosomal RNA, 484 nt
Filed under: uncultured bacterium
Lineage: Bacteria
Description: partial 16S ribosomal RNA
Rfam family: Bacterial small subunit ribosomal RNA
Source: RNAcentral